AUGGCCCAAGUCAGAAUAGUUUCCAACCUUGCUGAUGUUGAUGUUGCGCUUCAAGAUCUGCACAUCACUGAGAUGAAUCAAGCUGGUCUUGUUCGAUUUCAAUUGGAUGAGCAAGCCCCCCUUCAAGAAGAAGCAAAGAUCAAUGUGAAGACCCAUCCAAGAAGGCAUGGAUUCAUAUUGGUUAAUCCAGAGUUGUUGAAGUGCAAGUCUAGUGCCAAGACGGCACUAGAGACGUCCUUCAACACCAUGCUUGACGCAUCCCUGGAGCGGAUUGAUCAAGAGCUGCAGGGAGUUGAAGCAAGCAUCGUAGCACUGGAGGUCCUUGUGCUCUACGAUGACAAUCAGAUGGCACAUAAUGGACCUUCACUUGAAAGAAAUCGGGGAGUAGAACAUGCCAUCUAUCCACACCCUCAUUUCCCAAGAUUUCCUAAUUUUGAGCAUGGCACACACCAGCAGAGAGUCUCAUAUCAACCUACUUAUGGUACACAACAAGAGAGGGAUGAGGCAGCUGCUCGUGACAGGCGUGCCCAAAGGGCUCUCUGGCAUGCCAAACUCCGUAUUUUGAAGGCGAGGCAGUCCAUCUUGAAGGAGAGGAGGUCUGAGAUGAUGUCAAAGAUGAGGGUGGAGUUCAAGAGGAUUAUGGAGGAACAAUCUGACUUAGGGGCUGGUUACGCGGAUGAUGAAUUUCCUCCACUAGCGUAG
RNAcentral lists this ribosomal RNA (702 nucleotides) under Triticum aestivum (bread wheat). Its description in RNAcentral is "partial small subunit ribosomal RNA". Lineage: Eukaryota; Viridiplantae; Streptophyta; Magnoliopsida; Poales; Poaceae. The record is from RNAcentral.